Molecule: ribosomal RNA, 482 nt
Filed under: uncultured bacterium
Lineage: Bacteria
Description: partial 16S ribosomal RNA
Rfam family: Bacterial small subunit ribosomal RNA
Source: RNAcentral
GACGAACGCUGGCGGCGUGCUUAACACAUGCAAGUCGAACGAUGAAGAAGAGAAACGCGAACUUCGGUUCAAAUUUCACUUCGGAUUAGUGGCAGACGGGUGAGUAACGCGUGAGCAACCUACCUCUUACAAAGGGAUAGCCUCGGGAAACCGUGAUUAAUACCAUAUGACACAUUCAUAAGGCAUCUUAAGAAUGUUAAAGCUACGGCGGUAAGAGAUGGGCUCGCGUCCCAUUAGCUAGUUGGUGAGGUAACGGCCCGCCAAGGCGACGAUGGGUAACCGGCCUGAGAGGGUGAACGGUCACAUUGGAACUGAGACACAGUCCAAACUCCUACGGGAGGCAGCAGUGGGGAAUAUUGCACAAUGGAGGGAACUCUGAUGCAGCGACGCCGCGUGAGCGAUGAAGUAAUUCGUUACGUAAAGCUCUGUUCUAUGGGAAGAAAAGGACUGUACCAUAGGAGAAAGCCCCGGCUAAAUACGUG